This 83-nucleotide transfer RNA is filed under the name bacterium. RNAcentral describes it as "tRNA-Tyr". It matches the Rfam family "tRNA". From Rfam's summary of the family: Transfer RNA (tRNA) molecules are approximately 80 nucleotides in length. Their secondary structure includes four short double-helical elements and three loops (D, anti-codon, and T loops). RNAcentral also lists the same sequence under 2 other names. The record is from RNAcentral.
GGUGGGGUACCGAAGUGGCCAACCGGGACAGACUGUAAAUCUGUUGUCAAUCGACUUCGUAGGUUCGAAUCCUACCCCCACCA